GCUGGUGUAGCUCAAUUGGUAGAGCAGCUGAUUUGUAAUCAGCAGGUCGCGGGUUCGAAUCCCAUCACCAGCUCCA
This 76-nucleotide transfer RNA is filed under the name Alkaliphilus metalliredigens QYMF. Its description in RNAcentral is "tRNA-Thr (TGT) (tRNA-Thr-TGT-1-1, tRNA-Thr-TGT-1-2)". It matches the Rfam family "tRNA". From Rfam's summary of the family: Transfer RNA (tRNA) molecules are approximately 80 nucleotides in length. Their secondary structure includes four short double-helical elements and three loops (D, anti-codon, and T loops). Further hydrogen bonds mediate the characteristic L-shaped molecular structure. tRNAs have two regions of fundamental functional importance: the anti-codon, which is responsible for specific mRNA codon recognition, and the 3' end, to which the tRNAs corresponding amino acid is attached (by aminoacyl-tRNA synthetases). tRNAs cope with the degeneracy of the genetic code in two manners: having more than one tRNA (with a specific anti-codon) for a particular amino acid; and 'wobble' base-pairing, i.e. permitting non-standard base-pairing at the 3rd anti-codon position. The record is from RNAcentral. Lineage: Bacteria; Bacillati; Bacillota; Clostridia; Peptostreptococcales; Natronincolaceae.